This 326-nucleotide long non-coding RNA is filed under the name Vigna radiata. RNAcentral describes it as "long non-coding RNA (VRAD_LNC008668)". Lineage: Eukaryota; Viridiplantae; Streptophyta; Magnoliopsida; Fabales; Fabaceae. The record is from RNAcentral.
CUACCAUGUGCCUGUCCUCGAGGCCAAGCCAUCACACUACGGAACUCUUCCAUAGUCCACCUAUGCACUGGUGGCUGGUCAUAAAGUCCUAUGAUCAUCUCGGUAGUGGCCUCCUGUCCCCUGCAAAGGGACUCCAUCCUCGCCUCCAUCAUAGACAUGUACAUGUCUCUCAUCUGGAAGGGCUCUGGCUGCUGUGCUGGUGCAUCUGCAGGCUCAUCCACCUGUUGUGCUACUGCCCUCCUAGGACAUCUCCUAGGGACUGCUCCAGCUAGUUCAUCACCUCUACAAUACUAAUGAAAAUAGGAGGCAUUAAUAGCAUUCCUCGG